RNAcentral lists this ribosomal RNA (440 nucleotides) under uncultured bacterium. Its description in RNAcentral is "partial 16S ribosomal RNA". It matches the Rfam family "Bacterial small subunit ribosomal RNA", at positions 338 to 795 of the family's 1533-position model. The record is from RNAcentral.
CCUACGGGAGGCAGCAGUGGGGAAUAUUGCACAAUGGGGGAAACCCUGAUGCAGCGACGCCGCGUGAGUGAAGAAGUAUUUCGGUAUGUAAAGCUCUAUCAGCAGGGAAGAAAAUGACGGUACCUGAUUAAGAAGCCCCGGCUAACUACGUGCCAGCAGCCGCGGUAAUACGUAGGGGGCAAGCGUUAUCCGGAUUUACUGGGUGUAAAGGGAGCGUAGACGGCAGCACAAGUCUGGAGUGAAAUGCCGGGGCUUAACCCCGGGACUGCUUUGGAAACUGUGUAACUGGAGUACAGGAGGGGCAGGCGGAAUUCCUGGUGUAGCGGUGAAAUGCGUAGAUAUCAGGAGGAACACCGGCGGCGAAGGCGGCCUGCUGGACUGAAACUGACGUUGAGGCUCGAAAGCGUGGGGAGCAAACAGGAUUAGAUACCCUUGUAGUC